UGUAAAAUCGCAACUCAUUGCUAGCACAUGUAAGUGCUAGUACCAUAACACAGACCAGCACAGUACAUGUACUAAGAAUAAGACAGCUUGGUAACUUAUGUCUUUUAUUAAAACAUUAAAAAGGAAAAAAUAUAAGAUAGCAGCUAUCUUGUGCAAGCAGUCCAAGUAAGCACCUUAUCCCAAGCACAUGUAAGUGCUAGUACUAUUACACAGACCAGCACAGUACAUGUACUAAGAAUAAGACAGCUUAGUGA
This 254-nucleotide long non-coding RNA is filed under the name Mytilus galloprovincialis (Mediterranean mussel). Lineage: Eukaryota; Metazoa; Mollusca; Bivalvia; Mytilida; Mytilidae. The record is from RNAcentral.